RNAcentral lists this long non-coding RNA (261 nucleotides) under Sorghum bicolor (sorghum). RNAcentral describes it as "long non-coding RNA (SBIC_LNC003221)". Lineage: Eukaryota; Viridiplantae; Streptophyta; Magnoliopsida; Poales; Poaceae. The record is from RNAcentral.
UAGCAACGGUGCCAAAAAUGUCAAACCUAUCCCUCACACCACUUAAGCCAAGUUGUCAUCCCCAGCAUGACAUGAGAGACGCGGUAUUGAAAUAUGCAAUUGCUCUUCUAAAUAAAUAAUGAAUGGGAUCUGCAAGCGCACAGGUUAAUACCGAUGUAGCAUUUUAACCGGGAAGUAUUCCAGGUAUCGUUAUUUAUAUUUUUACCACUGGGAAGGGAUUAGAAAUCAUCACUAUUGAUUACAGAAUAGAAUAUGAGAUUG